UUCCCUUGCUCCCUCCCACCUAUAUAUGGGGUCUCUCUGCCGAUGGAUGCCGUAGGGUGUAAGAGGAUGACUUAAUUUCAUUCCAAACCCUUGAGUAAUCAAUCAGUUUCAUCCCUUUACAGUUGAUUUGUCGAUUUAUAGAAGCAAGGUUCGUAGAUUGCCUUCAAUCUGCUGUUCGUCAAACCUAGGUCACUGAUUUCAAAAUUGGAUGGUUUCGAGGUUAAGGAGUCGGUUUUUAUAGUGGUGAGCCGGUGACGUGGUGGCGUUGAAGAAGCAAAGGCUGUGGAGACGGUGGUGCUUGGAUCGCUGUUUGGGCUCUGACUGAUGACAAUCCACACAAUUUCAUGAUUUUUGCAAAGAAACUGAUGGUGCCAAUUGCUCUACUCUUAGUCGUGUGGAUGAACUGGAAUCAUCCUGUUAUUCUUGGAGUUAAAGUGAUACUUACUCUUCUCAGUACAGUAUAAAACCCAACCCCUUCUCAGUUUAUGUAUUCAUUAAACAGGGACAUUGGAAGACAUGAAGAGUGGUGGAUCAAAAUGAAAAGAUAGUAGUCAAAGCAAGGAUGAGGAUAUACUGCGAAGUAAAGGUGAAUAAUCUAUUUGAUAUUAUUUACAUUGGAUUAAGAUAGGUUACUAUUUUUGAAUUUUAAUAUGUAAUCCAACAUGAGAAAUAUUGUAUAUAUCCCUUAGAGAUGCAGUCAUAUUUCAAGUUGUACUAUGAAUUCAACAACUUCCAAAUUAGUUUGUAUAAGUUUUAAUGUACCACCAAACUUCUAGCGACUAAUUCAUUUAUC
Molecule: long non-coding RNA, 793 nt
Filed under: Helianthus annuus (common sunflower)
Lineage: Eukaryota; Viridiplantae; Streptophyta; Magnoliopsida; Asterales; Asteraceae
Description: sRNA HanXRQr2_Chr09g0371751
Source: RNAcentral